AAGUCGUAACAAGGUUUCCGUAGGUGAACCUGCGGAAGGAUCAUUACCGAGUUGGGCCCUUUGGGGCCCUUACUCUCCACCCUGUGUUUACAAACCUUUGUUGCCUCGGCGGACCGCUCGCUCCGGCGGGCCCCGCCAGAGGACCAUUCAACUCUAAUGUAACCGGACGUCUGAGCAAAGAUUCAAUUAAUCAAAA
Molecule: unclassified non-coding RNA, 196 nt
Filed under: plant metagenome
Description: partial contains small subunit ribosomal RNA and internal transcribed spacer 1
Rfam family: Eukaryotic small subunit ribosomal RNA (bases 1-46)
Source: RNAcentral